Molecule: long non-coding RNA, 186 nt
Organism: Polypterus senegalus (gray bichir)
Lineage: Eukaryota; Metazoa; Chordata; Cladistia; Polypteriformes; Polypteridae
Exons: 3
Source: RefSeq, a predicted model, not a curated record
GGCAGCACAGUUCAGAUGGCUGGUGGCAACGUGACUUGCCAGAACACCAUGUCUGCUGCCAUCACUGUGAGGAGUGGUCCAGAGGGCUCCAUCACCAGGGACAGUGUCUACAAGUUAUUCUUCCAGUGCACCUACUCGGGAAGCCAGGAUGUGCAAGUGGAGGCUGAGGUGUAUCCUGUGACGCCA